CUAGCUUUGUCAGAAUCCUUUCUUUAACCAGGGUUCUAGUUAUGUUACCCAUCUUGACAAAGGACCAUCAUUGCCUCUCUUCAAACUUCAUAGCAGCCCUCAUCAUUAAUCUGGACACAGGUCAAACCUGUCCAGGGACCCUCAGCCAGUUCUGGUAAAAGAAGAACAAUGCAGCAAGAGAAUUGAGGAUAUUUUUGAGAAUGGAUUCAACUUCUGGAUAUCACAAACCAAAUUGUGGCACAGAAAGACAAUUCAUAAAUGUCUUCUUCAAAAUGGGCCAAUUAGGCCGAAGUUGAGAAUUUGGGGAAAAGUACAAAAUUGAGAUGAUCAAGAACUAAUUCUAGCUACAUUGCUGAAUGGAAAAACUAAGUAACAUGAAGCAGAUAACCUAUCUGUUGAUAACUGAGACUAAGAAAAUACAAACUAUUGAAAAAGUGAUGUGAUAUGACUUUAACUUAGCAUGAAAUGAAGAGACACCAGAGUAUAUACAAUAAGGAUUAUCUACUAUGACAAAGGAGUAGAUUACAGCCACCUCUGACAAGGCAACCACAAACAAAUCAGUUCAACCUAAGCACUUCAAGGACAGAUUCCUCUACUCUGGAGGUGGGAAAGUGAGUUUUCAAGACCUAUGCCAUCUAAAUACCUAAUUAUGGACUCUGCUGAGGAAGAGACUUCCAGAAUCACUACUAUAUGAACAGGCAACAGACUUUCACAGACUUUUUCACUAGCUCCUCUUCGUGGUCUUUGGCAAGUGACUUUUCUCAGACUCCUCAACCAUUGUCUUACAACCUUCCUAAAACAAUUCCCAGUUUCUCCCACCACUUUGUAAAGUUUAA
This 836-nucleotide long non-coding RNA is filed under the name Homo sapiens (human). RNAcentral describes it as "HSALNT0348949". Lineage: Eukaryota; Metazoa; Chordata; Mammalia; Primates; Hominidae. The record is from RNAcentral.